Molecule: ribosomal RNA, 253 nt
Filed under: uncultured bacterium
Lineage: Bacteria
Description: partial 16S ribosomal RNA
Rfam family: Bacterial small subunit ribosomal RNA
Source: RNAcentral
UACAGAGGGGGCAAGCGUUGUUCGGAAUUACUGGGCGUCAAGGGCGCGUAGGCGGCCUGCUAAGUCGAACGUGAAAUCCCUGGGCUCAACCCAGGAACUGCGUCCGAUACUGGUUGGCUUGAAUCCGGGAGAGGGACGUGGAAUUCCAGGUGUAGCGGUGAAAUGCGUAGAUAUCGUAAGGAAGACCAGUGGCGAAGGCGGGUCUCUGGACAGUUCCUGACGCUGAGGCACGAAGGCCAGGGGAGCAAACGGG